This is a non-coding RNA of Pelobates cultripes (western spadefoot toad), 75 nucleotides long. Lineage: Eukaryota; Metazoa; Chordata; Amphibia; Anura; Pelobatidae. The record is from the annotation of a GenBank genome assembly.
UGCAGAUGAUGUAAAGAAUAUUUGCUAUCUGAGUUUCUCUCUGAUGACAAGCUUUCCACCAAGAUCGCUGAUGCA